AUCACACCUCAAUUCCAUUUCUUCUCUCACAGCUCCUUUCUCCAUUCAUACUUCCUGUCUCUUCAUUGAGGAAUAAAACAUCCUGGUUUAAGCUCAGAACAUAGGAAUGAAAAUAGGGAAGAAAAUAUGUGAACAAUGCACAGUGUUCUCUCCAAAAUGGCAAGAACGUCAUCUCCUAGAAAAGCACUCAGAAGUCCUUGGCCUUUGGGAAAAAAGAGCUUGCGGAAGAUGACAUUGGUUCAUUGUCCUUAAAAGGCAGAACAGGCCUCCCACUAUUGAAAACAGCUCAUUCCCUUCCACACCUGGUCCUCAGAUCAUGCUUGGGUGCCCAGGCUCCUGUGCUUAAUCUUUCUUAACUGGAUCAUCAGUGCUUGGGAAAUGGGCAGGAUAACAAUUUAAAGAGAUAAUUGACUGCACAAAUCAGCUCAUCCCUUCAAGGGAUAAAUUUUCUCACACUUUCUGGUUCUGUAAUAGGUCAGGGCUGUUGGAGACAGAGCUGGCUUUUUCCCUGAUGUCCAGGGUCCUGAAAUGAAGUAUGGCUGGGCCACUUGACUGGGAGUGCAGUUACAGAAGCCAAUGCUGGUGCUGCAGAGAGCGCAAUGCCCAAAGUGGGUGCAUCUCUGAUGGUGUAAAGGAUGAAGAACAAGCUCUGAGGAAGGUUAGCAGGAAGCUCGAUUCAAGUCACCAGCAGAAAACAGAGUUGCCUUCAUGUCUUUACUCUCAAGGUUCUGCAGGCUCUGGAUUUUCUGCUGAAACUGGUAAUGGGAGAAACAGGAUUGAAUAAGGAAAUCUACACUAGAUGCUGGGAUUUACAUCCCCAGCCCGUCACUCAAACUGCCUCCUUCCACAAGGACUGAGAUGCCAAACUUCCCAGGCUCACUACUCUCAGGAUGAUAGAACUAAUACCCCCAACUGCUUGGCCUGCCCUCACAAACAGCACUUGCCAUUGUCAUCUAGAAAGCCACAUUCCUCACCAGAGCCUUCACUUGCUGCCUGGCUGGUCCUUGACAUGCUCCUCCAAUCUGGAUGUUUCUCUUGCCAUAGCGGAAACCUGAAUCUUGUUAAAUGGAGAUGGGCAAUACAGGCAAUGGAUCCUUCAGGUCUCCUUCUUCCAAGCAAAUGUAGCCCUGGGAACACUUUCAUUGAAAAGAAAGAAGAGACAAAGUGACUGGUGACUGGUGAUACAAAAUCAGAAUAGGGAUAUUGGUAUUUUAUCUUCCAAUAUGUCUUCUGGACUUCUUGGUGAUACUACUAAUCAGGCGGGAGUGCUGUUGUCCCAUAUACUGCAUUUGUAUGACUCAGAAAAAGAAGCCCAUUCCUCCAGGAAGAAUCAGCCUUGGGCAUCUUGCUUGAGGAGGAGAGCAUGGGCUCAAUUUCUAUUGCAGUGACUAGCUUCUCCAACCCAAACCAGCUACUCUUCUCCAAUGAACAACCUGAACAUCCACACAUGGUGGACCUGUGAAUAGACCUUUGUUUUACAAGUUGCUGUGACUGAAAUGGCUGUGAAAUGAGGACUAAACUGACCGCAAGCAUUGUGCACAAUGAGGUAUACUUAAGGGGAUGUGUGUGUGUGUGUGUCCUGGUAAAUAACUGAAUUGCCAAAGAUGUCUACAGAAGUCCAAGGUGGGUAACAAGAAUGAGAACCAACAAAGGCAGCAUCUCCUAAAAUGUGUUUAGCAGGACCAACUUACCAGGAGAUAAUGAAAAAGCAAGAGGUGGACCUCAAGUCAUUAGGAGAGAAGAAAAUUAAAACCAGACGAUUGGCCCACUGGUGAUAAGUUGCCUGGAAUAAUCAGAGAAUUUGAAGGCUGGCUUGGUUAUCCCUGGAAUCUGGCCCAAUUCUGGUUUAUAGCAAAUGUUGUUAACUAGGGGGUCCAUCAGUGACCUUCAGGGGACCUGUGAACCUCCUGAAAUUACAGUAUUAUUUUGCAUGUAUGUGUGCAUACACACUUUUGCUGUGGAGGGUCUUAGCAGUCAUCAGAUUAUCGGAUUAAGAACUGGUCUCGGCCAGGCACGGUGGCUCACGCCUGUAAUCUCAACACUUUGGGAGGCCGAGGCAGGCGGA
RNAcentral lists this long non-coding RNA (2065 nucleotides) under Homo sapiens (human). RNAcentral's name for it is "HSALNT0308843". Lineage: Eukaryota; Metazoa; Chordata; Mammalia; Primates; Hominidae. The record is from RNAcentral.